This 401-nucleotide unclassified non-coding RNA is filed under the name Hevea brasiliensis (rubber tree). Lineage: Eukaryota; Viridiplantae; Streptophyta; Magnoliopsida; Malpighiales; Euphorbiaceae. The record is from RNAcentral.
GAAACAUCUAAAAAGACAGGGAGAAUCAUGUGGGGAGAAGUCAAGAUAUUCUAAUUUGGACUCUCUAGCAUUCAGCUGAAAUCUCGUUCUUCACACAAGAAUGCUUAGAAGUAAUUCUGCGAUUAACAACAAGAAUGAAAUAAAAUCAGACAUUCUAAUGGCAAUCAACAAGCCUCUGCUAUACAGUCUGCAUGCUCACAAGCACACUGAGAACAUUCAAUUGAGGGUGAUCUAACCCAAAUCACUACUGCCUUUCAAAGGAAGAUCUGACACCAGUGGCUCCAGAGUGCCAACAGUAAUUUAAAAAAGCAAAGUCUUUGCUACCUCUUCCCAGAAGCAAAACUUUUAUCCAGCAAUAUUUCAUAUUCUUUUAUUUUCAUGACUAUCCAACACACUCAGAU